UCCUCGAUAGCUCAACGGUAGAGCAUCCGGCUGUUAACCGGAGGGUUGCUGGUUCGAAUCCAGCUCGAGGAGCCA
Molecule: transfer RNA, 75 nt
Filed under: Bacillota bacterium
Lineage: Bacteria; Bacillati; Bacillota
Also listed under: 3 other names
Description: tRNA-Asn
Rfam family: tRNA
About the family: Transfer RNA (tRNA) molecules are approximately 80 nucleotides in length. Their secondary structure includes four short double-helical elements and three loops (D, anti-codon, and T loops).
Source: RNAcentral